GUGAGAAUGCUGGCAUGAGUAACGAGACCAGGGCGAGAAACCCUGGCGCCGUGAGCCUAAGGGUUCCUGGGCGAGGCUAAUCCCCCCAGGGUCAGUCGGGAGCUAAGGCGAGGCCGAGAGGCGUAGCCGAUGCGCAGCGGGCAGACAUUCCCGCACCGCCGACGGCGCGGCAUUACCGAUGGGGCGACGGAGAAGGGUAGCCGGGCGGGGUUCUGGACGUCCCCGUGAAAGCGCGUAGGGCGCGCAGCGUGGAAAUCAGCUGCGCGAGAGGCCUGAGACGCGAGACGAAGCGACUGAGCGAAGCCGGUGAGCCCAUGCUUCCGAGAAAAACCUCUAGGGAGUGCCGUCGGCGCCCGUACCAAAACCGACACAGGUGGGCGGGUAGAACAUACCGAGGCGAUCGGGAGAACCACGGUUAAGGAACUCGGCAUACUGGCCCCGUAACUUCGGGAGAAGGGGCGCCGCCGGCUGUGAACGCCCUCGCGGCGGGAGCGGCUGGCGGCCGCAGCGAAACGGCCCAAGCGACUGUUUAUCAAAAACACAGGACUCUGCAAAGCGGUAACGCGACGUAUAGGGUCUGACGCCUGCCCGGUGCCGGAAGGUUACGCGGAUGCGUCAGCCGAAAGGCGAAGCGCUGAAGCCAAGCCCCGGUAAACGGCGGCCGUAACUAUAACGGUCCUAAGGUAGCGAAAUUCCUUGUCGGGUAAGUUCCGACCUGCACGAAUGGCGUAACGAUUUGGGCGCUGUCUCAACCGUGGACCCGGUGAAAUUGUACUGUUCGUGAAGAUGCGAACUACCCGCGGAAGGACGGAAAGACCCCGUGAACCUUUACUGCAGCUUGGCAUUGGCAUCUGGUACGGCGCGUAGAGGAUAGGCGGGAGCCUUUGAAGCGGGGGCGCAAGCCCCCGUGGAGGCGACCUUGGAAUACCGCCCUCGUCGUGCCGGCUGCCUAACGCGCGGCCGUGAUCCGGCGCGCGGACCGUGCCAGGCGGGUAGUUUGACUGGGGCGGUCGCCUCCCAAAACGUAACGGAGGCGCGCGAAAGGUCCGCUCAGGACGGUCGGCAACCGUCCCGAGAGCGCAAGAGUGCAAGCGGGCUUGACUGCGAGAGAGACACCUCGAGCAGGGACGAAAGUCGGUUCUAGUGAUCCGGCGGCACAGAGUGGAAUGGCCGUCGCUCAAC
RNAcentral lists this ribosomal RNA (1182 nucleotides) under human gut metagenome. RNAcentral describes it as "bacterial LSU rRNA". It matches the Rfam family "Bacterial large subunit ribosomal RNA", at positions 1288 to 2453 of the family's 2925-position model. The record is from RNAcentral.